UCAAGCUGAAAAGAGCGCAAGGGGAAUGCCUUGGCAUCAGGAGCCGACGAAGGACGUGACAAGCUGCGAUAAGCCACGGGGAGGAGCAAAUAUCCGAUAUAUCCGUGGAUUUCCGAAUGGGGGAACCCGCUCAAGCAAUACUUGAGCAUCGUGCGUUGAAUCAAAUAGGCGUACGAAGGGAACGGCCUGAACUGAAACAUCUAAGUAGGGCCAGGAAAAGACAUCAACCGAGAUUCCGCUAGUAGUGGCGAGCGAACGCGGAGGAGGCCAAACCGAGGGACGCAAGUUCUUCGGGGUUGCGGACAGACAUCAUGACCAGAGGAAGUUAGGAGAACGGCGUGGGAAAGCCGGCCAUAGAAGGUGAGAGCCCUGUAUCUGAAAAUGAAGACUGGCAGUCUGGAUCCAGAGUACCGCGGGACACGUGAAACCCCGUGGGAAACCGGGUGGACCACCAUCCAAGCCUAAAUACUACCUGAUGACCGAUAGAGGAGCAGUACCGUGAGGGAAAGGUGAAAAGGACCCCGGGAGGGGAGUGAAAGAGAACCUGAAACCUUGUGCUUACAAGCAGUCAAAGCACGUUAACGUGUGAUGACGUACUUUUUGUAGAACGGUCCGGCGAGUUAUAGUAACGAGCAAGCUUAAGGUAUUGAGUACCGGAGGCGAAGCGAGAGCGAGUCUGAAUAGGGCGUAAAGUUCGUUGCCAUAGACCCGAAACCGGGUGACCUAUCCAUGAGCAGGCUGAAGUGAGAGUAAAAUCUCAUGGAGGGCCGAACCGACCCCCGUUGCAAUGGUGGCGGAUGACUUGUGGAUAGCGGAGAAAUUCCAAUCGAACUCGGAGAUAGCUGGUUCUCCCCGAAAUAGCUUUAGGGCUAGCGUUAUGUUAGAUUACCGGAGGUAAAGCACUGAAUGGUGGCGGGGCCGAUAAGGUUACCAAGACCUAUCAAACUCUGAAUGCCGGAUAAUUGAUGCAUAGCAGUCAGACAGCGUGAGAUAAGUUUCGUUGUCAAAAGGGAAACAGCCCAGACCCACAGCUAAGGUCCCAAAUUCAUGCUAAGUGGAAAACGAUGUGGAAUUGCGAAAACAACCAGGAUGUUGGCUUAGAAGCAGCCACUCAUUAAAAGAGUGCGUAAUAGCUCACUGGUCGAGUGACUCUGCGCGGAAAAUAUAACGGGGCUAAGCAUGAAACCGAAGCUUGGGCUUGUACUUAGGUACAGGGGUAGGGGAGCGUCGAGUAUGGGGUGAAGUCAGAGCGGAAGCACUGGUGGACUGUACUCGAGUGAGAAUGCCGGAAUGAGUAGCGAGAAUUAUGUGGGAAUCAUAAUGGCCGAAAAUCUAAGGUUUCUUGGGGAAGGUUCGUCCGCCCAAGGUAAGUCGGGAGCUAAGCUCAGGCCGAGAGGCGUAGGCGAUGCACAUACGGUAGAAAUUCCGUAACCACCGAAACUUAAACAGAGGGACACUUCGAAAUAGCGGAACCCGGGCGUUGGUUGACCCGGGCGAAAGGGAGCGAAAAUAGAGUAGCGAAGUCCGCGAUGUUCGGAGGCGAGAAAAGCUCUGAGGUAUGCUAAGGUGCCCGUACCGCAAACCGACACAGGUAGAUGAGGAGAGAAUCCUAAGGCCAACGGGAGAAGGGUUGUUAAGGAACUCGGCAAAUUGACCCCGUAACUUCGGAAGAAGGGGAGCCCCCUACGGGGGGUCGCAGAGAAAUGGCCCAAGCAACUGUUUACCAAAAACACAGGUCUAUGCUAAAUCGAAAGAUGACGUAUAUGGGCUGACGCCUGCCCGGUGCCGGAAGGUUAAGAGGAGAUGUCAGGCAACGAAGCAUUGAAUUUAAGCCCCGGUAAACGGCGGCCGUAACUAUAACGGUCCUAAGGUAGCGAAAUUCCUUGUCAGGUAAGUUCUGACCCGCACGAAUGG
Molecule: ribosomal RNA, 1914 nt
Filed under: human gut metagenome
Description: bacterial LSU rRNA
Rfam family: Bacterial large subunit ribosomal RNA
Source: RNAcentral